UUUUUUUUUUUUUUGCCCACAGAGCUGGAGCUGGGAAUCCAUUAGCCUUUAAUGAAGUGAAACCCUCAUCUUGCCGGAGCCACCUCAUUUAGCGCAAUUGUUUCGCAGCCAUUACGGAAAGACAAUUACAAGGAAGCGGCGAGAGUAAUUGGAAAUGCUGGCAGGAGUUGGGCGAAAUGAUAAUAAAUAAAAAUAUUCCCCCUAAUAAGCUUGCCAGGAGGGGGGUGGGCUGAAGAAAAUCAACAUAAUUAGAACUGAACCUCGGCGAGGAAAAACAGACAGCGGGGUGGCGAGCGCUCGGCAUGGAGGACUGGGGGGGAAAGUGGAGAAAACUUUGGUUUUUCACUCAAAAACCAGCAGGGAAAAGAUUUCCCCCACCUGUACGCAAAAAUAACGGUUGGAUGGGAGAUGCUUUCCACAGGGAUGCUUGUGGUGCUCCUCCAUCACUUGGUUCAGGCUGGAAUUAAAGCCAAAAAAAAUAAAGCUUAAAAGUGAAAUGGUUUUUUGCUCACAGGACGUCAUCAAGGAGCAUCAUUGGGUAACAGGAAUUUCUCCUCAUCAAAUGGGGAGGGAAAUACAAUUAUUUUUGCAAAACCUGUAUUAUUUACAUUACUUUUAAGACCAGAAAGCAUUAAGGAUGUGAAUUUGGGGUGGAAAUCAUACUCAAAACUCGACACAAGUAGCUCUUGGUGGGCUCCUUCUCAGCUCCUAAAAUCCUUUUUCUUUCCACCAAAUAAUCCCUGUGCCCUGCAAAACCAUCCACACACUGUUCUAAUUCUCAUCCCAACCCAAUGUUGCUUUAGCAGCUCCUCCAAAACAGUUUGUAGGAAAAAAAAAACCUUAAAAUUGGGGGUUUGCACCCAAAAAAGCCACUGAAGCACAGUUUGGUAAAAAAAAGGUCCUUCAAGGAGGGAAUUGUACCCCAAGAAGUCCUUAAAAUAAGGGCUUGCACCCAAAAAUGUACUUUUAGCAGUUUUCAGAAAAAAAAAAAAGAAAAAAUUCCUUCAAGCAGAGCUUUGCAGAAAUAAAGUCCUUCACAAAGGGGUUUGAAUUUAAGGUUGUCCAAAAGGGGUUUGUACCCCAAAAAAAUCCCUCAAAAAUGGGAAAAGCACCUUUAAAAUAGAGUGUUUGAAUCAAAACCAGUCCUUUCAAUGGGUGUCUGCAUUUAAAAAGUCUCUCAAACAGGGGCUUUGCACCAAAAAACACUUUAAAUAAGUGUUUAUAGACAAAAAGGACUUUCAGCCAGGCAUUUGCAGCUAAAAAAUGCCUCAGACCAGGUGGUUUUACACAAAAAUCUUCCCCAGGACUUCUCCCCUCUGCAAUAUCUGCUACAAAAUCCAGCUCCUGGCAGCAUUCCAAAGGGAUGGAGUAGAUCCCUCUCCAUCACAGCAAGGGUUUCCCCAAAUCUAGAAAAAAUCCUGCAAGGGGAAUUCUAUUUCUCUUUAGAAUUUCUGUUCUACUCGGAGUAGAACUGCUGGGGAAGGUGGGAAAUGCCAAUAAUGUUGGGAGCAAUCCCAAACCCCAAAUAGAAAAUACCCAACAAAAUAAUAAAAUGGGCCCCCAAAUUCAUAAAAUAUCCUCCCCUCCAAUGAUAAAAAUAUCCCAAAAUAUAAUAAAACGCCUCCAAAUAAAUUAAAAAAUUAAAAUUAAAACUUAAAAAUACCCCAAAUAAAUUAUAAAAUAGAAGAAAAAUAAAAUGCUUCCAAAAAAAAAAACAAAAUGCCCCCAAAAUAAUAAAACACUCAAAAGAAGUUACAAAAUACCCCCAAAAUAAUAAAAUGCUCAACAGAAGUUACAAAAUACCCCCAAAAUAAUAAAAUAUCCCAAAUAAAUAACAGAAUACCCUGAAAAUAAUAAAAUAGCCCAAGCAAACUAUAAAAUAACCCUAAUUAAAUAACAAAAAACCCAAAUAAACAACAAACUACAUCUCAAAAAAAAAUUACUCCCCCAAAUAAUAAAAUAUAUUGAAUAAUUAAUGAAAUAUCCCCCCAAAUGGUCAAACAGUCCAAAUCUGUGCCCCAGCCCUCUGGAGUGAAGGAGAUUUUCAUUUAAAAACCACACACGUUUUUUUCCUUGCCACUUCCCAACUCCGUUAAGAUCAUUAUCACAGAAUGGGAGCAGAGAUAAAACAUUUUUAUUUUCUUUUCUUUUCCUUCUGGUGGGAUUUUUUAGCAGAGCAUCCCCCAUUCCCAGCUCUCAUGGAAGUCACCUCAUGUUGGGAGUUAAUGUUUCGUUAAUACAUAGGUUUUUUUGUUAAUUUAUUUUACUUUAUUUUACUUUUCCAUAUUUCUCCUCAGCCACCAAUUAUUUUGCUCCCAAAGGGAUUAUUACAAUUCUCCCUGUGACUUUUUUAGUCUUGGUGCCUUCCAGAAGCCACAGGUGAUGCUCAUGCCACAAAAACGUGUUAUUAAAUAAUAUUAAAUUAUUCUAAAUUAUGUAAAAUUAUUUCACAUACAUUAAAUGCUAUUGAAUAGUAUAAAAUAUUAGUAGAUUUUAUUAAAUAUUGUGCAAAGCCAUGUGCACAAAUAUUUAGGAGCUGUGAAAUGCCUCCACCACUGAGCUGGGAUGCUCCAGUGGGCACCAGCAGCUGAGUCCUGCUGGGAAGACAGUGGGCAAAGCUCUGGAAAAUUGGGGGGAAAUUGAGCUAUUUUGGAGCUUUUUACCAAAAAAACAAUUCUGGUGGAGGAAAGGGAGAUUGGAGUGUGGUGAGAGUGUGUGGGAGGAAAGGGGAGAUGGAGAUGUGGAAUGAGUGUGCAAGGAGUGAGCAGGGAG
RNAcentral lists this long non-coding RNA (2772 nucleotides) under Taeniopygia guttata (zebra finch). RNAcentral's name for it is "lncRNA (ENSTGUG00000020012.1)". The record is from RNAcentral. Lineage: Eukaryota; Metazoa; Chordata; Aves; Passeriformes; Estrildidae.